RNAcentral lists this ribosomal RNA (253 nucleotides) under uncultured bacterium. RNAcentral describes it as "partial 16S ribosomal RNA". It matches the Rfam family "Bacterial small subunit ribosomal RNA", at positions 524 to 776 of the family's 1533-position model. The record is from RNAcentral.
UACGAAGGGUGCAAGCGUUACUCGGAAUUACUGGGCGUAAAGCGUGCGUAGGCGGUUUGUUAAGUCCGCUGUGAAAGCCCUGGGCUCAACCUGGGAAUUGCAGUGGAUACUGGCAAGCUAGAGUGCGGUAGAGGAUGGUGGAAUUCCCGGUGUAGCGGUGAAAUGCGUAGAGAUCGGGAAGAACACCUAUGGCGAAGGCAGCUCUCUGGGACGGUACUGACGCUGAGACGCGAAAGCGUGGGGAGCAAACAGG